UGUUCUAUGGCCUAAUUGGUAAAGGGAUUGCCGAUCACACGCGAGGUUGCGGGUUCGAGUCCCGCUGGAACGG
This is a transfer RNA of Operophtera brumata (winter moth), 73 nucleotides long. It matches the Rfam family "tRNA". From Rfam's summary of the family: Transfer RNA (tRNA) molecules are approximately 80 nucleotides in length. Their secondary structure includes four short double-helical elements and three loops (D, anti-codon, and T loops). Further hydrogen bonds mediate the characteristic L-shaped molecular structure. tRNAs have two regions of fundamental functional importance: the anti-codon, which is responsible for specific mRNA codon recognition, and the 3' end, to which the tRNAs corresponding amino acid is attached (by aminoacyl-tRNA synthetases). tRNAs cope with the degeneracy of the genetic code in two manners: having more than one tRNA (with a specific anti-codon) for a particular amino acid; and 'wobble' base-pairing, i.e. permitting non-standard base-pairing at the 3rd anti-codon position. NCBI's taxonomy places the organism in Eukaryota, Metazoa, Arthropoda, Insecta, Lepidoptera, Geometridae. The record is from Rfam.